RNAcentral lists this ribosomal RNA (179 nucleotides) under uncultured bacterium. Its description in RNAcentral is "partial 16S ribosomal RNA". It matches the Rfam family "Bacterial small subunit ribosomal RNA", at positions 1314 to 1500 of the family's 1533-position model. The record is from RNAcentral.
GACUCCAUGAAGCUGGAUUCGCUAGUAAUCGCGCAUCAGCCACGGCGCGGUGAAUACGUUCCCGGGCCUUGUACACACCGCCCGUUAAGCCAUGGAAGCCGGGGGUGCCUGAAGUGCGCUGCCGCAAGGAGCGCCCUAGGGUAAAACCGGUGACUGGGGCUAAGUCGUAACAAGGUACC